Molecule: long non-coding RNA, 1343 nt
Organism: Neodiprion fabricii
Lineage: Eukaryota; Metazoa; Arthropoda; Insecta; Hymenoptera; Diprionidae
Exons: 5
Source: RefSeq, a predicted model, not a curated record
CAUUGUGACGAGUGAUCAAGUCAUUGAUGCAGCAAGUCGGCUCACUAUUGGACAAAUUGACUCCAACACCUACAAACAAAAUUAUGACAUGCAGGCCAAUAUUUUACAAUUUCUAUUAACCUUACAGCAAUUUUAGAUUCUAUCAACGAUGUCACUAUCAAACCUCCGAUUUUGGCUGUACUACCAGCAUAGAUAUCAUUUGGCCAUUUCAAUCUCAGAUCUAUAUCCUAGAAACAUCACAUAGACUAUUGCAGCAGCAACUAAAUGCUGGAUGAGUGAUAACCGCCCACCCAAUACAGAAUUUAAUGCAAUAUGUAACUGCAACGUAAACAUUCCGCAACCUUUUGGACUCAGCCACACAUUCUUGCUCCGCCCUAUUAUACAUGAAAAUAUCAACUUGUUAAUAUGCUAUAAAAUCCAAGUAUCAUAAAUUUGCAUCAGUUAUCUAUAAUGAGUAGAUAAAAACAUAACUGAUUUGUCUUAAGAGUACAUACCUCAUGUCGCCCCAAGAAAAAACCAGGGCUGUAAGCUGGAAGUACACGGGGUUCGGAACAGACAUCCAUUCCAAGAUGUGAGCUUAGCAGAUCACUGAAUAUUUCAAGUCUUGCUGAAUUACUCUGUUUUAGAGCUGAAAAUUUGCUCUCUUCAAAUUCAUACUGUGAGGGAUCCACUUCCAGAUGAAUCUGAGAAAAUACAGCUUUGCCACCAGUAGCUGGAAGAUUAGCCAGUAGAAGACUCGGUGUGUGCCAUGUUUCUUCAGACCCUAAUACUCUCACAUGGAAGAUCUUCAAUCAAGUCAUAGGGAGCAUGAUCACAGUAAAGAGAUGUGUGCAGCUUAUAGAAAAAGCUGGAAUUUUCGUGCAAGAGAUUCAUAUUUGCUGGUAUUUCUUGUAAAGUACAUUGAGUACAUGAUUGAGUAAAAUGGAAUGUAAUGAUAGAAUGCAAAAUAAAAUGUCGGGUCUAAUGUAAUAUGGCUAAGGAGCGUAUAUGUUCCCAAAUCAUAGCACAUAAUAUCAGAUCGUAGAUCAUACUGAUUAGUUGAAUUUGAAAAGAAGUGGAUUUUACAAGGUACCUGCAAUCGAAAAAUGAAGAAAGAUGUUCAGUCAGUUUUAGAACGAAUCGUGGAGCCAGAUGCGUAUUCAUACAAUAAAUUAUAUCCAUACGAACGUUUUUCUCAUUAAUAUGUGGGUUUUAUCCUAAAUUUUCGUAUUCUAUUAGUAUCUUUAUACUCCCCAUGUAACCCAUUGUCAAAAGGUAGCAAGUAUUACACGUAAUAUAACUGAAUCACUUAAUUUCAAUGUAAUACGAAUUGUACCGAAAUUGAAAUGAAAUUCGGUUACUGA